ACCUUCAAUGGCAUUCUGCUGUGUGCUUCUGAUUCAUCACUCAAAUAAUCAGAACCCAAUUCAAGGAAUCGGUCUAACAUGCAGGGCACUAAAACAUGCUCUCCAUUGACACCAAGUUGGCCAUCCAUGUAUUGUAACCCCAACUCCAAAUUGAUCCAUCAUCUGCAAUCAAACAGUAGAAUGAAAAGAAGGCAAAUCAAAGCGGUCAAAAAUCACCUACAGAUCCCAAUUAGUCGUCAUCAAUAAGUUAAUUGUUCUCUUACUAUUAAAAGAAAUGCAGAACAAGUCAUAACAAACUCGAACUGAAUGAUACCUUUGUUAUAUAGUAGUUCUACUUCUACCAUAACACACAGUCAUUUGAAUUCAUACAAACAUAGUUUACAACAUUGACUCUUUCUUUUCUUUUCUUUUUUGAUAACUCAGGGCGUGCCUCAUCCAUGAAUGAAACAGAUUGCUACAAGGUAGACUAUGUUAAUUUGUGCAUCAAGUCUUAUACAAUACAAGCAUGCUAUUGGUAGGCUACAAUACUAGGCAUAAAGAAAAACUGAAACAUCUCAUCUAAUGAAACACAUUUACCAGCCAAAUUUCAUGAACAAGGUCAGAAUUUUGCCUUCUGCAAUUAACUUAAGAAGUAAUAAGAGUUUGCAAUUAACAGUAGUUCAUAUAAAUACUCAAGCCUUGGGAGUUUAUCAUGAGUUGUGUAUCUCAUCCUCACAAACAUCCCACCAGGGGAGACACACACACAGAGAUUGAACUAGCGUAGUUUUUAUUCUGACUUUUUAAUUAUGUGAAACACAGCAUCCCUUGGACAAUAAAAAAACACAA
Molecule: long non-coding RNA, 825 nt
Organism: Rhododendron vialii
Lineage: Eukaryota; Viridiplantae; Streptophyta; Magnoliopsida; Ericales; Ericaceae
Exons: 2
Source: RefSeq, a predicted model, not a curated record